GACGAACGCUGGCGGCGUGCUUAACACAUGCAAGUCGAACGGAAAGGCCCUGCUUUUGUGGGGUGCUCGAGUGGCUAACGGGUGAGUAACACGUGAGUAACCUGCCCUUGACUUUGGGAUAACUUCAGGAAACUGGGGCUAAUACCGGAUAGGAGCUCCUGCUGCAUGGUGGGGGUUGGAAAGUUUCGGCGGUUGGGGAUGGACUCGCGGCUUAUCAGCUUGUGGGUGGGGUAGUGGCUUACCAAGGCUUUGACGGGGGGCCGGCCUGGGAGGGUGACCGGCCACAUUGGGACUGAGAUACGGCCCAGACUCAUACGGGAGGCAGCAGUGGGGAAUAUUGCAAAAUGGGCGGAAGCCUGAUGCAGCAACGCCGCGUGCGGGAUGACGGCCUUCGGGUUGUAAACCGCUUUCGCCUGUGACGAAGCGUGAGUGACGGUAAUGGGUAAAGAAGCACCGGCUAACUACGUG
RNAcentral lists this ribosomal RNA (468 nucleotides) under uncultured bacterium. RNAcentral describes it as "partial 16S ribosomal RNA". It matches the Rfam family "Bacterial small subunit ribosomal RNA", at positions 28 to 507 of the family's 1533-position model. The record is from RNAcentral.